Molecule: ribosomal RNA, 550 nt
Filed under: uncultured bacterium
Lineage: Bacteria
Description: bacterial SSU rRNA
Rfam family: Bacterial small subunit ribosomal RNA
Source: RNAcentral
UAGGGAAUCUUCGGCAAUGGACGGAAGUCUGACCGAGCAACGCCGCGUGAGUGAAGAAGGUUUUCGGAUCGUAAAGCUCUGUUGUAAGAGAAGAACGAGUGUGAGAGUGGAAAGUUCACACUGUGACGGUAUCUUACCAGAAAGGGACGGCUAACUACGUGCCAGCAGCCGCGGUAAUACGUAGGUCCCGAGCGUUGUCCGGAUUUAUUGGGCGUAAAGCGAGCGCAGGCGGUUAGAUAAGUCUGAAGCUAAAGGCUGUGGCUUAACCAUAGUAGGCUUUGGAAACUGUUUAACUUGAGUGCAAGAGGGGAGAGUGGAAUUCCAUGUGUAGCGGUGAAAUGCGUAGAUAUAUGGAGGAACACCGGUGGCGAAAGCGGCUCUCUGGCUUGUAACUGACGCUGAGGCUCGAAAGCGUGGGGAGCAAACAGGAUUAGAUACCCUGGUAGUCCACGCUGUAAACGAUGAGUGCUAGGUGUUAGACCCUUUCCGGGGUUUAGUGCCGUAGCUAACGCAUUAAGCACUCCGCCUGGGGAGUACGACCGCAAGGUUG